RNAcentral lists this ribosomal RNA (427 nucleotides) under uncultured bacterium. Its description in RNAcentral is "bacterial SSU rRNA". It matches the Rfam family "Bacterial small subunit ribosomal RNA", at positions 355 to 774 of the family's 1533-position model. The record is from RNAcentral.
UGGGGAAUUUUGGACAAUGGACGCAAGUCUGAUCCAGCCAUGCCGCGUGCAGGAUGAAGGCCUUCGGGUUGUAAACUGCUUUUGUACGGAACGAAAAGACUCCUUCUAAUAAAGGGGGUCCAUGACGGUACCGUAAGAAUAAGCACCGGCUAACUACGUGCCAGCAGCCGCGGUAAUACGUAGGGUGCAAGCGUUAAUCGGAAUUACUGGGCGUAAAGCGUGCGCAGGCGGUUAUGCAAGACAGAGGUGAAAUCCCCGGGCUCAACCUGGGAACUGCCUUUGUGACUGCAUAGCUAGAGUACGGUAGAGGGGGAUGGAAUUCCGCGUGUAGCAGUGAAAUGCGUAGACAUGCGGAGGAACACCGAUGGCGAAGGCAAUCCCCUGGACCUGUACUGACGCUCAUGCACGGAAGCGUGGGGAGCAAACA